UUCUGGCUCAGGACGAACGCUGGCGGCACGCUUAACACAUGCAAGUCGAACGGAGUUAUUGGAGCUUGCUUUGAUAAACUAGUGGCGGACGGGUGAGUAACACGUGAGCAAUCUGCCCUUAAGAGGGGGAUAGCAGUUGGAAACGACUGAUAAUACCGCAUAAGAUAGUAGUACCGCAUGGUACAGCUAUAAAAGAUUUAUCGCUUAAGGAUGAGCUCGCGUCUGAUUAGCUAGUUGGUGAGGUAACGGCUCACCAAGGCAACGAUCAGUAGCCGGACUGAGAGGUUGGACGGCCACAUUGGGACUGAGACACGGCCCAGACUCCUACGGGAGGCAGCAGUGGGGAAUAUUGCACAAUGGAGGAAACUCUGAUGCCAGCGAUGCCGCGUGAGGGAAGAAGGUUUUAGGAUUGUAAACCUCUGUUGACAGGGACGAUAAUGACGGUACCUGUUGAGGAAGCUCCGGCUAACUACGUGCCAGCAGCUGC
This 487-nucleotide ribosomal RNA is filed under the name uncultured bacterium. RNAcentral's name for it is "bacterial SSU rRNA". It matches the Rfam family "Bacterial small subunit ribosomal RNA", at positions 17 to 518 of the family's 1533-position model. The record is from RNAcentral.